RNAcentral lists this long non-coding RNA (2694 nucleotides) under Chlamydomonas reinhardtii. Its description in RNAcentral is "long non-coding RNA (CREI_LNC000085)". The record is from RNAcentral. Lineage: Eukaryota; Viridiplantae; Chlorophyta; Chlorophyceae; Chlamydomonadales; Chlamydomonadaceae.
ACCCAAAUAAACCGCUCAGACCUGCAUCCCUAUUGGUACAUCAAAACUGUGCCGCCAGGGCAUUUACUGGGGGGUGAACUUGGUGGCGUAGGCGAAGGCGUUGUUGGUGCCGGGGUUGGCCAGGUGGUCGGACCUGUGGAGCGGGCACGAGGAGCAUAACAUCACCGGGUAAACUAAGAUGGGAGUGCAAGUAUCAACUCGAAUUAAUGUUUAAUCCGCGUAGGUUAGCGCGGCUGGGCAUUUAUGGCAAGCAGCGUGCUGCACACACCGCGACUCAUGUUAUGUCACCCUAGGCCCCCAUCCCUACUCACAGGUUCUGCAGGGGGCCCUUGCCGGUCACGAUGGCCUGAACGAAGAAGCCGAACAUGGAGAACAUGGCCAGGCGGCCGUUCUUGAUCUCCUUCACCUUCAGCUCAGCGAAGGUGUCGGGGUCGUCAGCCAGGCCCAGGGGGUCGAACGAGCCACCGGGGUACAGCUUGUCCUGCAACGCGGAGGGAGCAAGGGUGGGCAAUGAUGCCAUGCACAACGUCCACGAACCGUGCAUUGCUACUGACGCAACCAGACAACACAAACCGAAACUGUCCCAUGUGUUUUGAGGGAAGCUUCCCUUCACAGCGAACCGCACUCACCAGGCCCUCGCCCAGGGGGCCGCCGUUGACGCGGUAGCCCUCAAUGGCGCCCAUCAGCAGCACCUGGGUGCCCAGGAUGGCCAGGAUGGACUGGGCGUGCACCAGGUUGGGGUUGCCCAGGUAGUCCAGACCGCCCUCCUGGAAGAUCUGAGCACCAGCCUUGAACCACACGGCCUCGCCGAAGGGCACGCCGUAGGAGCCCAGCAGCUCGGGGAAGAUGCAGCCCAGAGCGCCGAGCAUGGCCCAGCGGGCGUGGAUCAGCUCCAGCUCGCGGUAGCGCUUGAAGGUCUCCGGGUCAGCGGACAGACCGGCGGUGUCCCAGCCGUAGUCACCUGGAAAGCAAGUAAGGGUGUGUGGGAGGGGCAAUUUAGGAUAGAGCAUCACCAACCAGCUGCUGGACAGCGCUCCAUGUCCUGAAGGCUUCGCCAGCCCGAGCUAGAGAUCCCUUGCCGCAUGUGCAAAUCGCAGUUGCCCGAUCGCCAUGCGUCGGACUUGGACUAUCUGUAGUGACUGUGCUGCAAGAGCGACCGUGCGACACUGUUGCGCAUGCGAACGCCCAGAACCCCGCGACACAGAAAGACUUACCGGGGAACUCGCCAGUCAGGUAGCUCGGGGGCUCGCCAGUGAAGGCGCCCAGGAACAGGGGGCGCUCAGGGCCAUACCAGAAGCUGCAAGCAAAGGGCCAUCGCGAAAGGGUUCAGACGUCAAGAGCUUGAUACAGUGAAAUCGGCAGGCCGCAUUGUAGACAUGGAGCUGUAUUCUUUGCCACUGGUGGCAGCUCACCAGACAGGAAGCGCAAGUCAGGGAAAGAGGAUCCCCAUGCCGGAGUGGCCAGUUCCGGCAGUCGUGCCCUGUCAUUCCCCCUGCAAAUCUUCCCCAGAGCACUUCAUUGGCGAGCUACACACCUGUCCGGGGUGGACGCCUUGGAGGCGGGCUUCACGGUGCGGCGCGCCUCGACCUUGACGGUCGAGCGGCGAGACACCGCGGCGCGAGCGGAGGACUUGGCAAGGGCGAAGGCCAUUUUGACUGGUGGGAGUAACUUCUGUUGAAAUCACUGUCUGAACACGGUUGGGGCUGAGUAUUUAAGGCGUCCAGGCUCGGGGUCGUACGGCUUGCCGAUCGAGAUCGGGGUGCCAUCUGCGCCCUCUCGCGAAUCCGUCGCUUGGCGCUCGCUGGCGCGCGUCUGGCACAUCGGAUAAUCUUGAAAGCCCAUGCAAAACCUAGCGCACGCUCGGGCGGGUCGCUUCCGCCCAGAAAUGGAGCAAAACCGAUGGAAAGGCGCGAAGGUCAUGUGAGGGGCCCUUGCGCAGAGCGCGUGGCAAGGAGAAAAUCUAUGCGCAGCGGAUAGACCACAAAUCACUUGUAGCACUGAAAGCGACCGCGUGCUGAGAUAGCGCCUGGCUGGAAAGCGGCAGUCGAUGUGGCGCAUGUCGACGGAUGUCGGAACUCCGGCUGGUUGUGCUUAGCUUGGUUAGGAGCUCCAGGCGCUGCACGGGGGUGGUGUUUAAAUAAUCAAAUCGCCGUCUUGAUUCAGUUGCGGUAAGCGUGAGGUGCUGGCGAGGUGGGAAGGGGCGCAGGGGCGCUUCGCUGGCAAAGCCUGGCCUCUUUGCGGUUGUGGUAGCUGGAGGCAGAUGCAGGUUGCACUGUGGCAGCGAGCCAGCGGUGCGUCAGUGUGGUCUGUGGGUUGGCGUGUGUUGGGGGGAAAUAGUGGCGCAGCUAGAUGUAGUGACGCCUGUGGCACGGCCUGUGGCCCUGUGUGGCCCUGUGUGGCCCAUGACAUGGCCCGUGCGUCUAUGGCGACACGCCGACCCUCGCCGGCCUGCCCCGCCCAACGAUGGUACUGGCAGCGCAUCUCUUGACACUUGCACUGAAACGUUGUCAUUGAUACUACGUCAAGCGGCAGCAUCGGGAUGAUCGGUCUAUGCACCAGGCAGGGCUUGCAUCUGCCAGGGGUACCGUACGCGGCCGCCGCUAGCGAGAGGGACCCGGUCCCUGGCCCGAACCGUUUCCUCGCCCACGGCAUCCAGGGCCCCCAAAAGCCUAGAUUUUGGCGUUUGGCUCCGCG